This 350-nucleotide unclassified non-coding RNA is filed under the name soil metagenome. RNAcentral's name for it is "partial contains 5.8S ribosomal RNA, internal transcribed spacer 2, and large subunit ribosomal RNA". The stretch from base 1 to 120 matches the Rfam family "5.8S ribosomal RNA", at positions 35 to 154 of the family's 154-position model. The record is from RNAcentral.
GAUGAAGAACGUAGCGAAAUGCGAUAAGUAAUGUGAAUUGCAGAAUUCAGUGAAUCAUCGAGUCUUUGAACGCACAUUGCGCCCCCUGGUAUUCCGGGGGGCAUGCCUGUCCGAGCGUCAUUGCUGCCCUCAAGCACGGCUUGUGUGUUGGGCCCCCGUCCCCGGUUCUCCCCGGGGACAGGCCCGAAAGGCAGCGGCGGCACCGCGUCCGAUCCUCGAGCGUAUGGGGCUUUGUCACCCGCUCUGUAGGCCCGGCCGGCGCCAGCCGACACCCCAACUUUAUUUUCUAAGGUUGACCUCGGAUCAGGUAGGGAUACCCGCUGAACUUAAGCAUAUCAAUAAGCGGAGGA